RNAcentral lists this ribosomal RNA (303 nucleotides) under uncultured bacterium. RNAcentral's name for it is "partial 16S ribosomal RNA". It matches the Rfam family "Bacterial small subunit ribosomal RNA", at positions 507 to 809 of the family's 1533-position model. The record is from RNAcentral.
AGCAGCCGCCGCGGUAAUACAGAGGGUGCGAGCGUUAAUCGGAUUUACUGGGCGUAAAGCGUGCGUAGGCGGCUUCUUAAGUCGGAUGUGAAAUCCCUGAGCUUAACUUAGGAAUUGCAUUCGAUACUGGUUAGCUAGAGUGUGGGAGAGGAUGGUAGAAUUCCAGGUGUAGCGGUGAAAUGCGUAGAGAUCUGGAGGAAUACCGAUGGCGAAGGCAGCCAUCUGGCCUAACACUGACGCUGAGGUACGAAAGCAUGGGGAGCAAACAGGAUUAGAUACCCCAGUAGUCCCUGUCUCUUAUAU